Ursus americanus (American black bear) is the source of this 108-nucleotide small nuclear RNA. The record is from Ensembl. Lineage: Eukaryota; Metazoa; Chordata; Mammalia; Carnivora; Ursidae.
GUGCUCGUUUAAGCAGCACAUACAACUAAAAUCAGAACAAUACAGAGAAGAUUAACACGACCCCUGCACAAGGAUGAUGUGCAAAUUCAUGAAGUGUUCCACAUUUGA